This is a long non-coding RNA of Myotis brandtii (Brandt's bat), 494 nucleotides long. RefSeq lists it as uncharacterized. The record is from RefSeq and is a predicted model, not a curated record. The transcript is spliced from 2 exons. Lineage: Eukaryota; Metazoa; Chordata; Mammalia; Chiroptera; Vespertilionidae.
GACAUUGGUCAACAUGAACAUACAGGUUUCAGGUGUGAGCUUCUAUGUUACAAAGAUACAGUUUCAUAAGGAGAUGAUACUGAUGCUGAGGCGGUACUGAUGCUGAGAAGGUACUGAUGCCAAGGAGGUACUUACGCUAGGAGGUACUUAUGCCUGGAGGUACUGACCUGAGGAGAUACUGACGCUGAGAUGUACUGAUGCUAGGAGGUACUGAUGCUGAGGUGGUACUGAUGCUGAGGUGGUACUGAUGCUGAGGCAGCCGGCACACCUCCCCACAGGUCCUCCUCCUGCUUUUUUAUUAUCAGUCGCCUCUAGACUUGGUUUCUCUUUUCAGAUCACACGAGUUCAAAUUUCUACUCUGCUAUUUCUAAGCCAGGUGACUUCAGGUUAGCCAUUUAAUCUCUGAUCUCAGUUUUCUCAAACAGGAAAUGAGGAAAAAAUUACAUAUCUCAGUUUUUACAGAGGGGGGUAUAUAUGACUACAUAUGUUUUUUU